GAAACCAACAGGGAUUGCCUCAGUAACGGCGAGUGAAGCGGCAAAAGCUCAAAUUUGAAACCCUCGGGAUUGUAAUUUGAAGAUUUGGCAUUGGAGAAAGCUAACCCAAGUUGCUUGGAAUAGUACGUCAUAGAGGGUGACAACCCCGUCUGGCUAACCGUUCUCCAUGUAUUGCCUUAUCAAAGAGUCGAGUUGUUUGGGAAUGCAGCUCAAAGUGGGUGGUAAACUCCAUCUAAAGCUAAAUACUGGUGAGAGACCGAUAGCGAACAAGUACUGUGAAGGAAAGGUGAAAAGAACUUUGAAAAGAGAGUGAAAUAGUAUGUGAAAUUGUUGAUAGGGAAGGAAAUGAGUGGAGAGUGGCCGAGGUUUCAGCCGCCCCUCGUGGGCGGUGUACUGCCGACGCCGAGUCAUCGAUAGCGAGACGAGGGUUACAAAUGGGAGCGCCUUCGGGCGUUCUCCCCUAACCCUCCACACUGCCA
Molecule: ribosomal RNA, 479 nt
Filed under: Yarrowia lipolytica
Lineage: Eukaryota; Fungi; Ascomycota; Dipodascomycetes; Dipodascales
Description: eukaryotic LSU rRNA
Rfam family: Eukaryotic large subunit ribosomal RNA
Source: RNAcentral